ACGCUAGUACAGGUGGUGCAUGGCUGUCGUCAGCUCGUGUCGUGAGAUGUUGGGUUAAGUCCCGCAACGAGCGCAACCUUACCCUUAGUUGUUUUCCCGAAAGGAUUACCCUCUAAGGGGACUGCCCCGGACAACGGGGAGGAAGGUGGGGAUGACGUCAAGUCCGCAUGCUCCUUACGUCUAGGGCUACACACGUCCUACAAUGGGGUCGACAGUGGGAUGCAAAGCCGCGAGGUGGAGCCAAUCCCCAAACGGCCUCUCAGUUCGGAUAGUAGUCUGCAACUCGACUACUUGAAGUCGGAAUCGCUAGUAAUGGCGGAUCAGCAUGCCGCCGUGAAUACGUUCCCGGGUCUU
This 354-nucleotide ribosomal RNA is filed under the name uncultured bacterium. RNAcentral describes it as "bacterial SSU rRNA". It matches the Rfam family "Bacterial small subunit ribosomal RNA", at positions 1026 to 1382 of the family's 1533-position model. The record is from RNAcentral.